CAAUAGCGUAUAUUAAUGUUGUUGCAGUUAAAAAGCUCGUAGUUGGAUUUCUGACAGGAGCGACCGGUCCGAGCCUUCGGGUUCGUGUACUUUGUGUUGUCUCUAGUCAUCCUUAUGGAGAGCGUGUCUUUCAUUAAUUUGUUGGGCAUGGGAUCCAUAUCGUUUACUGUGAAAAAAUUAGAGUGUUCAAAGCAGGCAAUCGCUGUGAAUAUAUUAGCAUGGAAUAAUAGGAUAGGACUUUGGUACUAUUUUGUUGGUUUGCAUACCAAGGUAAUGAUUAAGAGGGACAGUUGGGGGUAUUCGUAUUUAAUUGUCAGAGGUGAAAUUCUUGGAUUUAUGAAAGACGAACUACUGCGAAAGCAUUUACCAAGGAUGUUUUCAUUAA
RNAcentral lists this ribosomal RNA (385 nucleotides) under uncultured eukaryote. RNAcentral describes it as "partial 18S ribosomal RNA". It matches the Rfam family "Eukaryotic small subunit ribosomal RNA", at positions 592 to 976 of the family's 1831-position model. The record is from RNAcentral.